GUUUGCACGGUCAGCUGGGGGUGUCUGCUCUAUCUAGUCGUGGAGGCCGGUUCCAUUCCUGGAUGCCAGUGGGAAGGCAGAGACUAGAUUUCUGCCUUCUCUCACCUGAGCCAGGACUUCUCACUCAAAGAGAACCUCGAGCCCCUUCUGAAGAACGUACUUCUGAGAUGUGGGAUGAAAAAUCCGUUAGACCGCCACUGCCUAGUUCAGCAUUCCUGCUACUUCUGCCUAACACACCUGCCUCCAGCAAAUCAUGCCCUCCACUCUCAGAGAUAUUUCGAUACCACUGUUGGUGCUAUGUUUUAUGGGUGCAGGUAUCACAAUCAGUAUUUUAAUUACAUACUCAUUAGAUUGGAGAGUAUGGCAAUACGACAACCCCAAUAUAACAACAGCAUGGUUGGGACUUUCCAAAUAUUGCUAUUUACCCAAAGACCGAGCCAAGCCUUCACGAAUUCUAGAAAAAGUAUGCCUAAAAAUGAAUGCUACAUUGGAGUUCCCAUGGGAAAUUACUCUUAGCCAGGACUGGAUGUCAUUAGCCAUCAUAAUGCAAGGAGCAGCACUUCUUUUCACUUUUUUUGGAAUACUAACUGUUUUGAAGAAAGAAGCGUAUGCACCAUUCUACCCCUGGUUUCAAGUGGCUGGAAUCUGCCUUAUGCUCGGUUGCAUCAUUGUUUUAGGAACAGUAUCCUGGAAUUUGUAUCUCGACUCAAUCAACCAUCCUUUCAACUACCCCACCAAUUUUCUUCUGCUGGACAUCCCAGUGCAUAGAAAUAUGGGUCUUGCCACUCCUCUAGGUAUAACAGCCUCACUCUUGAUGUUACCAAAUGGGGUCAUGUUAUUCAUUCAUGGAUGUCGUUUGAGACCGGAUAGUCGAAUACAUCCUUUGGAAUUUUGAAGAAGAAUUCAUUGCCAGCUUCCUCAAGAUGAAUGGCCUGUUAGGGUCCAAACUUUCAUGUUCUGACUUCAUUGACUUCAGUGGUUUUAAGUAUUUGCACCAGAUGCAGGCUAUGCUAGCUGAGAUCUCAACAGCAUUAUUUACUUUGUAGAAAAAUUUGGGUUGUCUUUAGAAUUGUUGAUGUAUUAAAGGUUGUGUUAAUGUGUAUGUCA
Molecule: long non-coding RNA, 1107 nt
Organism: Ornithorhynchus anatinus (platypus)
Lineage: Eukaryota; Metazoa; Chordata; Mammalia; Monotremata; Ornithorhynchidae
Exons: 2
Source: RefSeq, a predicted model, not a curated record